This 193-nucleotide ribosomal RNA is filed under the name Peptostreptococcus anaerobius. Its description in RNAcentral is "partial 16S ribosomal RNA". It matches the Rfam family "Bacterial small subunit ribosomal RNA", at positions 28 to 219 of the family's 1533-position model. Lineage: Bacteria; Bacillati; Bacillota; Clostridia; Peptostreptococcales; Peptostreptococcaceae. The record is from RNAcentral.
GAGGAACGCUGGCGGCGUGCUUAACAUAUGUAAGAGGAACGGUAAGGCUCCAUCUUUUGGGGUACACGAGUGGCGAAUUAGUGAGUUACACGUGGGUGACCUGCCCUGCUCUUCGGGAUAAUCCUGGGAAACUGGGUCUAAUACCAAAUAGGACCUCACCGUGAGGGUGUGGUGGAAACCCUCUCUUCGUGGG